AUACGUAGGUGGCAAGCGUUGUCCGGAAUUAUUGGGCGUAAAGCGCAUGUAGGCGGUUUGGUAAGUCGGUCGUGAAAAUGCGGUGCUUAACGCCGUAUGGCGAUUGAAACUGCUGAACUUGAGUGCAGGAGAGGAAAGGGGAACUCCCAGUGCAGCGGUGAAAUGCGUAGAUAUUGGGAAGAACACCGGUGGCGAAGGCGCCUUUCUGGACUGUGUCUGACGCUCAGAUGCGAAAGCCAGGGUAGCGAACGGGAUUAGAUACCCCGGUAGUCCUGGCCGUAAACGAUGGGUACUAGGUGUGGGAGGUAUCGACUCCUUCCGUGCCGGAGUUAACGCAAUAAGUACCCCGCCUGGGGAGUACGGCCGCAAGGCUUAAACUCAAAGGAAUUGACGGGG
RNAcentral lists this ribosomal RNA (396 nucleotides) under uncultured bacterium. RNAcentral describes it as "partial 16S ribosomal RNA". It matches the Rfam family "Bacterial small subunit ribosomal RNA", at positions 523 to 918 of the family's 1533-position model. The record is from RNAcentral.